RNAcentral lists this RNase P RNA (350 nucleotides) under Affinundibacterium flavidum. RNAcentral's name for it is "RNase P RNA component class A". It matches the Rfam family "Bacterial RNase P class A". Rfam says of the family: Ribonuclease P (RNase P) is a ubiquitous endoribonuclease, found in archaea, bacteria and eukarya as well as chloroplasts and mitochondria. Its best characterised activity is the generation of mature 5'-ends of tRNAs by cleaving the 5'-leader elements of precursor-tRNAs. The record is from RNAcentral. Lineage: Bacteria; Pseudomonadati; Pseudomonadota; Betaproteobacteria; Burkholderiales; Oxalobacteraceae.
GAAGCAGGCCAGACAAUCGCUGGUUGCCGUGUUCACACGGCGACGGGAGGAAGGUCCGGACUCCAUAGAGCAGGGUGACGGCUAACGGCCGUACGUUGAAAGCCAAGGCGCAAGCUGAGGUAUAAGGCGAGGAAUAGGGCCACAGAGACGAGCGUAUUUAGUUACGGUGAAACGCGGUAACCUCCACCCGGAGCAAUUUCAAAUAGGCACGCGUUGAGGCGGCUCGCGGAGCGUGCGGGUAGAAAGCUUGAGCGGCGGAGUAAUCCGUCGCCUAGAGGAAUGAUUGUCAUAGUGUGAUGCAGCAAUGCAAAGCGCCGUAACAGAAUCCGGCCUACCGGCCUGCUUCAUUU